AUUUUCCACAAUGGGCGAAAGCCUGAUGGAGCAACGCCGCGUGCAGGAUGAAUGCCUUCGGGUUGUAAACUGCUUUUAUUAGUGACGAUUAUGACGGUAGCUAAUGAAUAAGGACCUGCUAACUACGUGCCAGCAGCCGCGGUCAUACGUAGGGUCCAAGCGUUAUCCGGAUUCAUUGGGUUUAAAGGGUGCGUAGGCGGCCUUGUAAGUCAGUGGUGAAAUCUUCUCGCUUAACGAGAAAACUGCCAUUGAUACUGCUAGGCUUGAGUACAGAUGCUGUGGGCGGAAUAUGACAUGUAGUGGUGAAAUACAUAGAGAUGUCAUAGAACACCGAUUGCGAAGGCAGCUCACAAAACUGUAACUGACGCUGAGGCACGAAAGUGCGGGGAUCAAA
This 394-nucleotide ribosomal RNA is filed under the name uncultured bacterium. RNAcentral's name for it is "bacterial SSU rRNA". It matches the Rfam family "Bacterial small subunit ribosomal RNA", at positions 361 to 772 of the family's 1533-position model. The record is from RNAcentral.